GAUGAACGCUGGCGGCGUGCCUAAUACAUGCAAGUCGAGCGAAGCGGGGACGGGUGAGUAACACGUGGAUAACCUCCUAUAAGACUGGGAUAACUUCGGGAAACCGGAGCUAAACCGGAUAAUUAUAGCUGGAUCCGCGCUGCAUUAGCUAGUUGGUAAGGUAACGGCUUACCAAGGCCACGAUGCAUAGCCGACCUGCGAGGGUGAGCGGCCACACGGGAACUGAGACAGGGUCAAGACGCAGAGGGGAGGCAGCAGUAGGGAAUCUUCCGCAAUGGGCGAAACCCUGACGGAGCAAGGCGGGGUGAGUGAUGAUGGUUUGCGGAUCGUAAAACGCUGUGAUUAGGGAAGCGGUACCUAAUCAGAAAGCCACGGCUAACUACGUGCCAGCAGCCGCGGUAAUA
This 404-nucleotide ribosomal RNA is filed under the name uncultured bacterium. Its description in RNAcentral is "partial 16S ribosomal RNA". It matches the Rfam family "Bacterial small subunit ribosomal RNA", at positions 28 to 525 of the family's 1533-position model. The record is from RNAcentral.